RNAcentral lists this ribosomal RNA (497 nucleotides) under uncultured bacterium. Its description in RNAcentral is "partial 16S ribosomal RNA". It matches the Rfam family "Bacterial small subunit ribosomal RNA", at positions 28 to 507 of the family's 1533-position model. The record is from RNAcentral.
GAUGAACGCUGGCGGCGUGCCUAAUACAUGCAAGUCGAGCGAACAGACGAGGAGCUUGCUCCUCUGACGUUAGCGGCGGACGGGUGAGUAACACGUGGAUAACGUACCUAUAAGACUGGGAUAACUUCGGGAAACCGGAGCUAAUACCGGAUAAUAUAUUGAACCGCAUGGUUCAAUAGUGAAAGACGGUUUUGCUGUCACUUAUAGAUGGAUCCGCGCCGCAUUAGCUAGUUGGUAAGGUGACGGCUUACCAAGGCAACGAUGCGUAGCCGACCUGAGAGGGUGAUCGGCCACACUGGAACUGAGACACGGUCCAGACUCCUACGGGAGGCAGCAGUAGGGAAUCUUCCGCAAUGGGCGAAAGCCUGACGGAGCAACGCCGCGUGAGUGAUGAAGGUCUUCGGAUCGUAAAACUCUGUUAUUAGGGAAGAACAAAUGUGUAAGUAACUAUGCACGUCUUGACGGUACCUAAUCAGAAAGCCACGGCUAACUACGUG